Molecule: non-coding RNA, 286 nt
Organism: Labrus bergylta (ballan wrasse)
Lineage: Eukaryota; Metazoa; Chordata; Actinopteri; Labriformes; Labridae
Source: RefSeq, a predicted model, not a curated record
GGAAACAGGAAGUUAUAAAGGAAACAGGAAGUGGAGGGUUCUUUCUUUAAUCUUCAAGGCUGCCCACAGCAGGCAGCAACAGCAAUGUGCAGCUCCUGCAAUUGAAAGACAAUGUUUCGAUUUAGUUUGGACCAACAAAGACAAUCCUCAUAGCAAAGCAUGCACAGACAAAGUUACUGUGACACUGAAGAUGCAGAGGAUUAAAAUACCUCAUUCAGUACAGCUGCAGAUAGACGACAGAUACGGUAGCUACAUGCUAAUGCUAAGCUACAUGCUAAUGCUAAGC